ACGCCAAGGAAGCUUGCUGCUGGUGAACUUGAGCAAGAGAAUGGCCUCUUUUAAUAAGCUCAAUAUUAUAGCACUUCUCCUAAUCUUCUUAUUAUCAGCUUGUCGUGCUCCAUGCAGUUCUGCUUCCUCACUUCAUCAACGUGAGAAGCACAAUCCGAGGUGGUUUUCGAAUUGCAGACAUGGAUA
Molecule: long non-coding RNA, 186 nt
Organism: Daucus carota subsp. sativus
Lineage: Eukaryota; Viridiplantae; Streptophyta; Magnoliopsida; Apiales; Apiaceae
Exons: 2
Source: RefSeq, a predicted model, not a curated record